Molecule: long non-coding RNA, 1122 nt
Filed under: Oncorhynchus mykiss (rainbow trout)
Lineage: Eukaryota; Metazoa; Chordata; Actinopteri; Salmoniformes; Salmonidae
Description: lncRNA (ENSOMYG00000069822.1)
Source: RNAcentral
AUGAUGUUCAGAGACCGAACGUCUCAUAUAGCACACACACAUUCAUUACCAACCACUCACUAUCCCCCCAUGCUGAAUGUGAUGCACUGUUCAGGGUUCAGUCAGUGCAGUGGCCUAUCUGGGCAAAACCAAGGAAGGGUCCAUUUGAAGCACCAUACAGGGGUAUUUCAAGGAAGGGACCAUUUGAAGCAUCUUACAGGGGUAAUCCAAGGAAGGGUCCAUUUGAAGCAUCUUACAGGGGUAAACCAAGGAAGGGACCAUUUGAAGCACAUUACAGGGGUAAUCCAAGGAAGGGUCCAUUUGAAGCAUCUUACAGGGGUAAUCCAAGGAAGGGUCCAUUUGAAGCAUCUUACAGGGGUAAACCAAGGAAGGGUCCAUUUGAAGCAUCUUACAGGGGUAAACCAAGGAAGGGUCCAUUUGAAGCACCUUAAAGGGGUAAACCAAGGAAGGGUCCAUUUGAAGCAUCUUACAGGGGUAAUCCAAGGAAGGGUCCAUUUGAAGCAUCUUACAGGGGUAAACCAAGGAAGGGUCCAUUUGAAGCAUCUUACAGGGGUAAACCAAGGAAGGGACCAUUUGAAGCAUCUUACAGGGGUAAACCAAGGAAGGGACCAUUUGAAGCAUCUUACAGGGGUAAUCCAAGGAAGGGUCCAUUUGAAGCAUCUUACAGGGGUAAACCAAGGAAGGGUCCAUUUGAAGCAUCUUACAGGGGUAAACCAAGGAAGGGACCAUUUGAAGCAUCUUACAGGGGUAAUCCAAGGAAGGGUCCAUUUGAAGCAUCUUACAGGGGUAAACCAAGGAAGGGUCCAUUUGAAGCACAUUACAGGGGUAAACCAAGGAAGGGUCCAUUUGAAGCAUCUUACAGGGGUAAACCAAGGAAGGGACCAUUUGAAGCAUCUUACAGGGGUAAUCCAAGGAAGGGUCCAUUUGAAGCAUCUUACAGGGGUAAACCAAGGAAGGGUCCAUUUGAAGCACAUUACAGGGGUAAACCAAGGAAGGGUCCAUUUGAAGCACUGUACAGAGGGAUGUCUGACUACAGCAAAGAAAAUAAACACCAAACCCCUCAACCUUCAAAGUUAUCAUCACUUAAAGGUGCUACACCCCCAAAACCCCAUUUCUCCGUAA